CGGGUAAGAUCAUUGGCUUCUUUGGACGUGCAGGCACCAUGAUUGAUGCCAUCGGAGUUUACCUCGCACCUAACUAGACCUCUUCGAGUGCUGCUGCUGCUGCUGCAGCUACUCUACGUUGGGGUGCUUCAAUAAAUGAUCGAGGCAUGCUGUUAGCUACUUGGACGUCAUGAAUUGUUACCGUCGUCGUCGUUGUCGUCGUCGUCGUCGCUAGGGUGGCUGUGAUCAUGAAUAAAACAAAUAAAGAUGCAGUUUGAUACGUUUCGACUGAUCAUAUGCUUAUAUUAGCUUUCCAUUUCAUGUGUUCUCUUAUGAUAGUUAAUUCACAUCAAAAAUCCUCCCGGCCAAAGUAAAUGAAGGAUCGAUCAUGUGCAAUUGUUUGCAUGGUUGUCGUCCUUUGAC
This 402-nucleotide long non-coding RNA is filed under the name Musa acuminata (dwarf banana). Its description in RNAcentral is "long non-coding RNA (MACU_LNC009955)". The record is from RNAcentral. Lineage: Eukaryota; Viridiplantae; Streptophyta; Magnoliopsida; Zingiberales; Musaceae.